Molecule: ribosomal RNA, 496 nt
Filed under: uncultured bacterium
Lineage: Bacteria
Description: partial 16S ribosomal RNA
Rfam family: Bacterial small subunit ribosomal RNA
Source: RNAcentral
GAUGAACGCUGGCGGCGUGCCUAAUACAUGCAAGUCGAGCGAACAGACGAGGAGCUUGCUCCUUUGACGUUAGCGGCGGACGGGUGAGUAACACGUGGGUAACCUACCUAUAAGACUGGGAUAACUUCGGGAAACCGGAGCUAAUACCGGAUAAUAUUUCGAACCGCAUGGUUCGAUAGUGAAAGAUGGCUUUGCUAUCACUUAUAGAUGGACCUGCGCCGUAUUAGCUAGUUGGUAAGGUAACGGCUUACCAAGGCAACGAUACGUAGCCGACCUGAGAGGGUGAUCGGCCACACUGGAACUGAGACACGGUCCAGACUCCUACGGGAGGCAGCAGUAGGGAAUCUUCCGCAAUGGGCGAAAGCAUGACGGAGCAACGCCGCGUGAGUGAUGAAGGUCUUCGGAUCGUAAAACUCUGUUAUUAGGGAAGAAUAAACGUGUAAGUAACUGUGCACGUCUUGACGGGACCUAAUCAGAAAGCCACGGCUAACUACGU